RNAcentral lists this ribosomal RNA (252 nucleotides) under Mitsuokella multacida DSM 20544. Its description in RNAcentral is "partial 16S ribosomal RNA". It matches the Rfam family "Bacterial small subunit ribosomal RNA", at positions 524 to 776 of the family's 1533-position model. Lineage: Bacteria; Bacillati; Bacillota; Negativicutes; Selenomonadales; Selenomonadaceae. The record is from RNAcentral.
UACGUAGGUGGCGAGCGUUGUCCGGAAUUAUUGGGCGUAAAGGGAGCGCAGGCGGGAGGCCAAGUCUAUCUUAAAAGUGCGGGGCUCAACCCCGUGAGGGGAUGGAAACUGGUCUUCUUGAGUGCAGGAGAGGAAAGCGGAAUUCCUAGUGUAGCGGUGAAAUGCGUAGAUAUUAGGAGGAACACCAGUGGCGAAGGCGGCUUUCUGGACUGUAACUGACGCUGAGGCUCGAAAGCGUGGGGAGCGAACAGG